CAUGAUGCUUCCUAGCUUUACGGGUAAUGUCAAACACACCAGAAUAGCAAAAGGCUGCUGAGUUCGGGUUGAGAAGACUAUACACUGCUCCACAGUUUAACUCUGAAAGCACAAGCUUCACCUCACAACUAUCAGGCAUUUCUCACUGGUGGCUCAUAGACACAGAGUAAUAGUAGAAUAAAAGAGCUGUCUUUGAGAAGUAGUCUACUCAAAGCCUCACAAUAAGACGGCUUGUGAAGUAUUUAUCAGCAGGCAGCCCAGAAACAACACCACGCUCUGAAACAUUGCAUGAAAUGCUAUUGGCAGGAAUUAAUUCAGUCUGACUUCUGUGAACGGUGAAGGUCAGGGCAGAAACAAACACAUACAUAACACCCCCGCACCUUUCCCACUUCCCAAGCCUAAAAUGACAGACAGGUACACAGGCACGCUUUGCCCUGGGUCAGCAGCAAUACCUAUCUACAGCCAUAGCAACGCUGCCUGAUAGCAAAGCCUUUGUGAAGUGAGCACUGGGUUGUGCGGGCAGAUACAGGGCAGAUUGAAAGAGACUAUGAUUAGUCAAAACAAACAGAUUAAACAGAAUGCCACAUCUAUGGAAGGAAGGCUGAAAGUCUGAAGGCACUCAGCUGUCACACUGAACGUUAAAGUAGAACACACAACAAAAAGACUGAUGACAUCAUAGUCAAUAAACACAAGUCUAUUUUCAGGAAUUGUUGCACCUUCUUCAAGAGUCUGUGCCCAAGUUACCAUCUCCUGGUUUCUGAUGCCUCCUAGGAAGGCUUGUGGAGCUCUGAAAGUUCUGAGGUAUGUCAGAGUUGCUUCUGUAACUCCUCAAAUACUGUGCUGGAAGCUCUGCAGCUGGAAAGACUAACAUCGUGAAGGAAACUGCUCUCAGAAAAAGUUUUUGUUGUUGUCUGGAUUGGGUUUUUUUGAGCAACAUCUUGUUAGCCCUGCAAUGAAAAUGUGCAUCUCUAGGCACCUGAAAGAAGCAAAGAUCUUCAACAGAAGCAGAAGAGGAGGCAGACGUGAUGCUCAGGAGUCCCUUUUAUCCCACAACACACAGGAUACACAUCACUUGCUGGAGAUCUGGGUCAUCUCUUUGCCUGAAGACGUUUGAACCCACAUAUCCCAUAUGAACACCAGGAUGUACUGGGGAGGAGCACUCUCAUCUUUCUGGUGCAGGCUCCCUCUCACACCACAACCAUGUGGUUUGUUCAUUCAUUAAAGCAGAUGCAGCCUGUGAAGACUCUAACACACAACUUCAUGCCAUUCUCAUACUCAGUUCAGGUGAAACAUCUCACUUAGAAACAAAAAAGCUCUGGGCUUGGGAGUGAGCCCUUUUGAACCAAGAGACUUGGAAAUGUACCUGUCUGAUGGUUUACCCAGCUUCUCCCUAUGGUGCCAGGGACCUCUGGCAUAAAUAACCUCCUGUUAGUACGAACAGCCCAAGCUGUCCGAAGCACCCUGAAUACCCAGAAGCUAAAAAAUGGAGGAAGAUGUUUCACAGUGCACACAGGCAGAAGGAGGGACCAAACCCAGACCCUAAGAAGCUUCUGCAAACUUCUCAACCAUUUCUCUUUCAUGAGGUCCUUCAUUUUAUGACGGGAGAUGGACUAUAGGUUGUGAGCUCAACACUGAAAAAAUAUUGCCAUCUAAAGCUGCUCACAGUUGUCAGCAAAUUCACAAGUGACCUGAUAAUAACAUACACUUUCCAACCAGCCAUUGCCUAAUUUACUAUUUAUCAAGUCUUGCCCAGCCCAAAUCUACAUCUUGCAAAGCAGACAACUGUUUCUUUUAUCUGCUGCCCCAGCUGGUAACCAGAUGAUUACACAUUGUUUGUCUCCUGCUUUCAUUUGGGAAACUGAGUUGAAGGGACAGUUGCUGCAUUGUAAAGACUUAAUCUAGCAUUGUUUUCUGCUAUAAAACUGCUGUCAUCGAAAGGGGCACACAUAAGUGCAAUAAGAGACAACUUAACAAACAAAAAAAUACGUGUAUCACACUCAUCCUAAAUACAGACCAUACAGGCCAGCCAUAAAAAGUGUGGCUGAAGCACAAGAACAUGGAUCACCCAGAGCCCUGCCCCGUGUGUCACUUCAGCUACUAUUACACUGUUUUCAUUAAUGAAGAAACUAGGACAGCCUUGUAACUUCAGUUGAGCAUUAAUCCGUUGCAACUUGUAAAGAACUGGAGUGCUGCACACGAAGGUGAUAAGGUAUAAACCUAUAUGAACAUUGAAAGAAAGAACCACAAGGAUUGUCUCAUUCACUGUGCUUACCCCAGUGCCCUAAACAUUCUUCCUGCUCGUGUUCUACUAGAAAAAAAGCUGACUUUCACUUACCACCAUAGUUAACUGAAAAGUGAACUAAUUCUUUAAUUUGGAGGGUGGUAGAAGAGGCAGAAAGCAUAAAAAGAUGGGUCUUGUUCUAGUGCCAUAAGAACUACUAUGCAAAGUUUCUCCUCGUUGUUAUGGACAAGAAGAAAAAGGAGAAGGGGGGGAGAGGAAAGGAGGGUAACAAAUCAAGGAUAUUUAUCAAAGAUGAGCAAAGACUUGCUUGGUUCCAGAUGAGUAUUCCCAAGCAAUGGAAAACUUGUAAAGUGAAACUAUUUUAACUUAAUGAGUGGAGAGAUAAACUGGUAUUUAGAAAGACAUUUCAGUAGUAGUUUUUUAACCAUUUCUAUAAAAAGAGAAAGAAAGCUAUAGGAUCAGACAUUUAAAAAGUCACUGCCACCAUCCCUUUGUAGGACCAGAGUGCUUUCACUUCAGCUCCAAGGAUUUCCAACUACAACACACUCAGGAAGUACUGAACAAGAUGCAGAAAACAGUGUUUUCCCUUUUGUUUUACCAAAGUUCCUGAAUUCUACAAAUGUUAACAUUUAUAUGUUUGUUUUUUAAACCUAAAACUUAUCCGUGUCUUACUCUGAAUCACACUAAAUCUGUCAAGAAUGCUGAGCAGUCGUGUAAGAUUGCUUCAAACUAGAAAUUAAAGUUCAUCAUCAGAACAGUCAGCUGAGAGCCUUCACACGGCCGGUGCCAGCCUUAUUCAGAAUCACAGACAGCAGUCUCCCUAUUAACUGAGGCAAUUCAAGCUUUGUUACACUUCAGGCUGCAGCAUGGAUGUCUCAACUCAGUGAGCUAAUGCACAUUACUCAAUGUAAGAGAAAACAGCUUAGUAAUGAAGGAGGUGUGGCCAUGCACACUGAUAAAUCCAAGCGAGGGCAUCAGUGCACAUGCUCCUCAGCGAAGGAGAGGGGAGGUAUGUUGAAAGUAUCUAGGUCUGUGAUGAAAGGGAAAACUUGAUGGAUGAUAUUUUGGAACCAGUCACUAACAACAAAAAUCUGGUGGGUGCCCUUCUGGAACAGAACCAGAAAAGCACACUGUGAGCUCCAAGGCCUACCAGACACAUGCAAGGCACAAGAAAGGCAAGGCAGCUCUUGAAGUGUGCUGGCAGCUCCUCUCCCUCCUGUUGUUUUUGUUCCUUUGUUUUUAAUCACAGAGGGUGUGGAAAUUAAAUGAAGAAGCCCUUCUAGAUUUGACUCUAAUAGCUUCCUGACUGCCUCCUUCCCACUUGGAAAAAUGUCUGAAGUGAGAGUGACUAUGAAAAGACAAGAACUGCUGAAUGUUCAAAAGGGAAGAAUGGAAAAGGAAAGAAAAAAAAAACCCACAACCCGCAUCACCUGUAUUUGUGGGACCAAUGUAGUUAACACCAGCUAGAAAAAAAGUAAGAUGGUGGUGGUUAGAAUAGGAAGAACUACUGUUUUUAAGUAUUUUGGACCAGCUAAAGUUAAAGCUUAGUUGUAUUUAAAGCAGUCCAAGAACAAAAAUACUUACCUUCAACAGUGCAUAAUCAAAGGAUGAGAUGCCAGGAUACAGCAAGAAAGAAAAUUAAAGCCAGGAGAAGGCAAAGAAAAAAAGAAAAAAAAAAAGAAAAAAACAAGCUUUUUUGCUGAGUAAAUUUUAGGAUGCCUUUGCUUGUUUCAGCACAAUAAGAUCCAAUUCACAGAAAAACAUACAAGAAAACUCCACAAAACAAGACAGAUAACAGUCAAACUUGACAAGCCCAUUUUACAUCAAACCAAACUUGACUUCUGUACUAAGCCUUGACAGAUAGGGAGAAUUAAAACAUGUCAUAUCUUAACUGUAGUGAGGCUUUUUGAUACCAUCGUAUAAACAAGGUGGCAAAACAUGGUCCAGAUGACUUAUGAGUCAGAACCAAAACUGUCCACCAGUGGAGCUCACCAUCAAAACAGAGGCCUUCAACAAGCAGUGCACUACAGAAGCAGAUCCCAUUUGUGGUAUUACUGCUCUUCUCUAGUUUCAGUCAAUGCUUUCAUUGAUUACGUGAUGGGAAAGACAACACUUAAUAAACGCGCACCACAAGGGGACCUGCUGCAAAGAGGAAGACGACCUUGUCAAACCAAAGACCCACAGAGUAAGAGAAAGAAAGGAACUCUACAGAAAAUAAUUUAAUUAAAGUUUUAUGCUUAGAUGGGAGUAAUUUAAUGAUAGAAAUAGAUAGUGUGGCACAAGUGAACAGCUGUGGGACUGACAACUGUCUUUACCAACUAGAAUCAGAAAUAAAACAUCCAGGAAAAAGCACAUUCAUCUCAAACACUUCUGCACAUUUACUCCUCUGCAGCAGUGUUACAGAAAUGAGCAGAGAUAUGAGUAACACUAUUUAUACUCUAACAAUCAGAGAACACAACUGACUGAGCAGCUUCAGCGAGGUUCAAGGUACUAGUCAAGGUUUCCUUCAGAGCAUAAGCGUUUUCUGAAUCACAGCCAGUUUCUCCAGCACCUUUAGCUACAAGUUCAGAACACAUUCUAAAGUAAAAAAAAAAAAAAAUUGAGAAAAUCAUAUUAUCUUUCCUAAUCUGAAUACCAACAUAAAAAAAAACCUCUCAGGAGUAGGGCAAUUUCUGUCACUUUCCCAAGAACUAGAUCCCCUUAAAAGGCUUCUGGUUUCUCCUUCAGCUAGUUUUUCCACUACAGUGCCUCUUCACACAUAUUUUGUAAAAGAACACAAAACACUACUUGCUUGACUACUUUUACACAAUAGGAAAAAGAAUUAGUUGCUGAUUAGGGUUUGAAAUCCAUUACACUCCAUGUGCCCAGUUACACACACACACACACACCAUAUCCAGCCCUUGUACCUGGAAUGAGACUUCCCCCAGCAAAAUUCAGAAGACUGAACAUGUUUGAAAAAGAAAACAAACAAACAAGUCACGUUUCCCCUACAUAACAGGAGGUAAUUUUGUCUGGGAUAAUGUUCUUCUUCCUCAUAGGGAUAUACACUGACAUUCUUAUAAAGAGCCUAUGCUGUGUUACUUCCUCAACACAUUCAGUAGAUGAAGGGCAACUCGUUAUUGCCAACAGUGAUCCAAAGACUGCAAUACUACUUUCAGAUAAUAGGUGUGAGAUCAGCAAAUUUUCACUUUAAAACCUAUUGAAUUACCUGAAAAUAUUACCGAAUACUUCUAAUGGCACAGCAUAUUAUUCCAGUCAUUAUUAACACUAAAUGAUCAAAAUGAGCAACUCUUCACUCAAUUCCAGAAACAACCAUUGAGAGAUUUACUCCAUCGCCCAUACAACAGACUUGGUAUUUUAGUGGUUUUCCUGCAAUCAUAACAUGACCCUGAGAGAUGAGCCUUGCAAUCAGAACGUCAACUGCUAGGUGUGAAUUUGUUAGCAAGUUCUGCUUAUCUAAGCAGCUAAUCUUAAGGAAGGUCAGAAAGCAGCUACUAUUUUAAGAAAAUCUAGUUUAAAUAACAGCAUAAUCAGUGUUAAAAAUAAAGGGGAGUGCUUAAUGGAAAGUCAUUUUCUAAGGCAAACCCAUAAUAGCAUAAUUAAGAUUGAAUUCAACUCAUCAAUUGAAAUUAAAAUGAGAAAAAUAGUAUACUAAUUCUCAAACGUAACCAGGUGACACGCAGCUCAUUCAGCAGCAGAACCAGUGCUGCUAUUCUUAUAAUGGUACGUUGCCAUUACACAAGUUGAGACAAGAUGGGCAGCACUCCAGAAAGGUGAAGACAGAAAUAACAAUUUAUAGGGUGAGGAGGGAUGGAGAACACUUCAGUACAUCCAGAUGGACACUCAGUCAGACACUACUCCACAGUCACCACCUGCCUUGGGCACUUUCUCCUUCUAAUUCUCGUAAGACAACCCAGCAACUUCAUGAAAUAAAUAGAGUUUCUACCAACAUAUGUUUCUGAGUUCAUUGUUCACUUUGCUAAAAUAAAUAUUUACACGUAACAAAAUCCAGAACUACUCAGAAAUCACACUAGUCGGUUAUGUAGGCUUAUUUAGCAUCGCUAAAAAAAGAUCUGAGGGUUGGAGUUCCUCAGAGGAACAAAACCAACAACAAAAGUUACAUUCCGCAUAGGCAGAGAAGCACAGCUCAGAGCAAAAUCAGGUUUACGCACCUCUAUCCUCAGAAAGGUUCUAAACAUUGCCAGUUCACAAGUGUGUUUGAAACUAAACAUAAGGACCUGAAGCACUAUGUAACUGCACUUUAAAGAAACAACUUCUAAAAGCAUUUUAUUUGUCAGAGUGCCAUACGGGUGCCAAACUCAGAGUGCUUAGGCUGCAGCAGCAUUAGCUCACCAGGCACACAGAUCUCCUCAGGACAGCACCUUCCACACAGGUCAUGCAUCCAGAACUUGUUUUCUUAGAUCUACUGAUGCAUCUUCAAGGCUAUGUACCUGAUUUCAGGGUGAGACAUUGGAUUUUUUCUUUGAAAUGUAAUGUUUCUUUCCCAAAUUCCCACAAUGACAAGCAAAGCUGUGCACAAAGCUCGUCUGAGGGACUGGUUGGCUGCAGUAUCUGCAGACAUCCAGUCAAGCACACAGGCACUAACCAGAAGGUUAUACCAGUUAAUCAGCUCACACCACCUCUGAUUACACCAUUUCAGCAAUGUUCCAGGCUGCUCUCCAGCACCACAAGCUCCAAGAUCAUCAAGCAGUUUUAUAUCUCCAUCAGCAGAUGUCACCUUUAUACACCUGGAGAGCUGCUAAGUCAUUAAACUGAAUUAAGUCACCUCGACUUCAGAACUCCGGUCCCUGAGGCUGUCCUUGGGCCACCAAAGCCAUCUAUAUUUCCAAGA
Non-coding RNA from Coturnix japonica (Japanese quail), 7094 nucleotides. Lineage: Eukaryota; Metazoa; Chordata; Aves; Galliformes; Phasianidae. The record is from RefSeq and is a predicted model, not a curated record.